RNAcentral lists this ribosomal RNA (254 nucleotides) under uncultured bacterium. RNAcentral describes it as "partial 16S ribosomal RNA". It matches the Rfam family "Bacterial small subunit ribosomal RNA", at positions 524 to 776 of the family's 1533-position model. The record is from RNAcentral.
UACGUAGGGUGCGAGCGUUGUCCGGAAUUACUGGGCGUAAAGAGCUCGUAGGUGGUUUGUCGCGUUGUUCGUGAAAACUCACAGCUUAACUGUGGGCGUGCGGGCGAUACGGGCAGACUGGAGUACUGCAGGGGAGACUGGAAUUCCUGGUGUAGCGGUGGAAUGCGCAGAUAGUCAGGAGGAACACCGGUGGCGAAGGCGGGUCUCUGGGCAGUAACUGACGCUGAGGAGCGAAAGCGUGGGGAGCGAACAGG